GAUGAACGCUGGCGGCGUGCCUAAUACAUGCAAGUCGAGCGAACAGACGAGGAGCUUGCUCCUCUGACGUUAGCGGCGGACGGGUGAGUAACACGUGGAUAACCUACCUAUAAGACUGGGAUAACUUCGGGAAACCGGAGCUAAUACCGGAUAAUAUAUUGAACCGCAUGGUUCAAUAGUGAAAGACGGUUUUGCUGUCACUUAUAGAUGGAUCCGCGCCGCAUUGGCUAGUUGGUAAGGUAACGGCUUACCAAGGCGACGAUGCGUAGCCGACCUGAGAGGGUGAUCGGCCACACUGGAACUGAGACGCGGUCCAGACUCCUACGGGAGGCAGCAGUAGGGAAUCUUCCGCAAUGGGCGAAAGCCUGACGGAGCAACGCCGCGUGAGUGAUGAAGGUCUUCGGAUCGUAAAACUCUGUUAUUAGGGAAGAACAAAUGUGUAAGUAACUAUGCACGUCUUGACGGUACCUAAUCAGAAAGCCACGGCUAACUACGUG
This 497-nucleotide ribosomal RNA is filed under the name uncultured bacterium. RNAcentral's name for it is "partial 16S ribosomal RNA". It matches the Rfam family "Bacterial small subunit ribosomal RNA", at positions 28 to 507 of the family's 1533-position model. The record is from RNAcentral.